Molecule: ribosomal RNA, 448 nt
Filed under: uncultured bacterium
Lineage: Bacteria
Description: SSU rRNA
Rfam family: Bacterial small subunit ribosomal RNA
Source: RNAcentral
AGAACGAACGCUGGCGGCAUGCCUAACACAUGCAAGUCGAACGCUCGUAGCAAUACGGGAGUGGCGGACGGGUGAGUAACGCGUGGGAACCUGCCCUGGAGUGGGGGAUAACCGAUGGAAACGUCGGCUAAUACCGCAUACGACCUGAGGGUGAAAGAUUUAUCGCUCUAGGAGGGGCCCGCGUCGGAUUAGCUAGUUGGUGAGGUAACGGCUCACCAAGGCGAUGAUCCGUAGCUGGUCUGAGAGGAUGACCAGCCACACUGGGACUGAGACACGGCCCAGACUCCUACGGGAGGCAGCAGUGGGGAAUAUUGGACAAUGGGGGCAACCCUGAUCCAGCAAUGCCGCGUGAGUGAUGAAGGCCUUAGGGUUGUAAAGCUCUUUCGGCGGGGACGAUGAUGACGGUACCCGCAGAAGAAGCCCCGGCUAACUUCGUGCCAGCAGCCGC